GUCGGUAAAACUCGUGCCAGCCACCGCGGUUAUACGAGAGGCCCAAGUUGAUAGUCGACGGCGUAAAGCGUGGUUAGAAAGAACCCAACAUUAAAGCCGAACAUCUUCAAAGCUGUUAUACGCACUCGAAGACAAGAAGCUCACCCACGAAAGUGGCUUUAUAAUCUUGAAUCCACGAAAGCUAGGAAACAAACUGGGAUUAGAUACCCCACUAUG
Molecule: ribosomal RNA, 216 nt
Filed under: Pachyurus bonariensis
Lineage: Eukaryota; Metazoa; Chordata; Actinopteri; Sciaenidae
Description: partial small subunit ribosomal RNA
Rfam family: Bacterial small subunit ribosomal RNA
Source: RNAcentral